RNAcentral lists this transfer RNA (71 nucleotides) under Loxodonta africana (African savanna elephant). It matches the Rfam family "tRNA". Rfam says of the family: Transfer RNA (tRNA) molecules are approximately 80 nucleotides in length. Their secondary structure includes four short double-helical elements and three loops (D, anti-codon, and T loops). Further hydrogen bonds mediate the characteristic L-shaped molecular structure. tRNAs have two regions of fundamental functional importance: the anti-codon, which is responsible for specific mRNA codon recognition, and the 3' end, to which the tRNAs corresponding amino acid is attached (by aminoacyl-tRNA synthetases). tRNAs cope with the degeneracy of the genetic code in two manners: having more than one tRNA (with a specific anti-codon) for a particular amino acid; and 'wobble' base-pairing, i.e. permitting non-standard base-pairing at the 3rd anti-codon position. Lineage: Eukaryota; Metazoa; Chordata; Mammalia; Proboscidea; Elephantidae. The record is from Rfam by way of RNAcentral.
GCAGUGGUGGUUCAGUGGUAGAAUUCUAGUCUUCCAUGUGGGAGUCCCUGGUUCAACUCCCAGCCAGUGCA